CCUGCUGAAUAGGGUGUAACUGCUAACGAGGACCAAAGUUGCACUGCUGAUGAAUCACCUACAUCCAUUGAAAAUGCAGCGUCCCCGACAAAAAGGGACGUUAGUACAUAUGGAAUAGUACUAAUAUGUAAAGCUAACUGUCCUCUUUUAAAAUAGAAUACCGAUGUAAAAAAAAAAGAAGGAAAUCCAUAGAAUCAACAAGUCACAAUCAAUGAUAUUCAAAUGCCAAGUUAAAACAUAAUAAUUUCCAAAAUAUGAAGAUAACAUUGUGAAGUGAUAAUCAAAUUAUGAUGAUAAUAUUAUUUUUGAUUGGGAGAUCUUUAGCACCGAUAUACCACUGUUCACAAUACUAAUGUUAAUAAUACCAAUAUUCACAAUAUCAGUGUUCACAAUACCGAUGUUCAAAAUACCAAUGCCACCGUACUUUUAGCACGAAGUCCAAUCACGUCCCGACUGGCUAGGCUAUCUCAUUAGAGACAUCAAUCACAAUUACUACCAUUAUCAAUACCACCGUAAUUUUAGCACAGAGUCCGAUCACGGCCCGAUCGGCUAGGCUAUCUCUUUAGAGAAUCAACCACAAUUACUAUCAAUACCAAUACCACCAUAAUUUUAGCACGGAGUCAAUUCGGAAUAGUUGAAUCAAGGCUCAUUUCAUAACCUUUCUCAUAUCAUUUCAUUUCAUUUGCUCCAUUGGCCACAAUAUAACUUUCACUUAUAUCAAUCAUCGCAUUUUAUACUUCUUUCACAUCUUUUAAUUCCAUUGGCACCAUUGUCCACAAGUAUAACUUUUACUUAUAUCAAUCAUCGNNNNNNNNNNNNNNNNNUUAGGUACACAUAUGAGCAAUUAAGAGUCUUAAGCAUAUUGAGUUUUCUCACACAAUUUGGAAUCGUAACUUUCAUUUGAAACACAACUCAAAGACAUAGCAUUUUAAUACACAUAUCAUUCUUGAACACAUUCCCAAAGGAUAACAUAAUGUGUUAGGAACAUUCGGAACAUGUUUUGAAUACUUAAUUCCUGACACUUUGCUUAUUCGGGACAAUCGGAUUUAUUGGGAACAACUAGGAACAUAGAAUAAGGAACUUGAGACAACAAUACUUGAAACUUAUGAGAACAUCAUUGAAUUCAAUUCUAAGAGAGUAGUUUAGCCAACAUACCUUACUUUUAGCUUUCCUUAAAUUACUACAAGUUCCGGAAAUUCUAGCAAUCCCAAUCUAUUUUGAGACAUAACAAAAUUAAACCAUUAUUAGGAAGAUAUUCAUGGUCUCAGCUCAUUUGAGCAUUUUAUCAAACGCUAGGUGUGCAAAUUUAACUACAAGAUUCUUCUACAAGAUUUCUUUCACUCCACAACCCAAUCAUUACUUAUUUGAGCUCAACAAUCUUUUUACAAACCUUAUUAGUACAAGCAUGUAUAAAUAAUACUCUUACACCCAAGAAUCAUACUCCCAAUUACCCAUCUUUUCCCCAAACUCGAAAUUGAAAACUAGGGGUUUGAAUCUUGCCUCUUAGAUGAAGAUCUUGUGAGAUUUCCUUGUUGGAUUUCAAAGCUUGGGCAAGAUCUUGAUGAACAAAACACUUAAUCUACUUUCUCUCUCUAGAACACUCUAACUUCUCUUUAAAAACCCUUAGAUAAUCGUCCCAAAAUAAACCCCAAAGCCUAUUUAUCAAAAUGGGGUCGGGUUAUGAAAAUAAAAAAAUUAACCCUACAAAAGCAGGUCUGUGGUCGCAUAAUGGACCGCAGAAUGGGUAUGCGGGUCGCAAAAAUCGGUGCCCAGAACUGGGCUAUUCUGGUCCAUUCUACGACCAGUUUGCGGUCGCAGAAGCAGUUUCGCGAUCGCAUAAUUAUUCUGCGAUCGCAGAAUUAGUCGCAGAAUCGCAUUUUUCCAGCAUUUGGUAAUUUGGUCAUAACUUCUUGUAGGAGUGUUCAAAUGACGAACGGUUUGAAGCGUUAGAAACUAGACACAUAGACAUUUCAUUUGAUCAGUAAUACACCAUAUAAAUCUUCAAAUCAAGAUAGGUAUGCUCGUUUGAAUUUAGGUCUUGUGCGAACUCACUUGAAACUUUAUCCCAUCAUAAAAUGUUCAACUUGACUUAGCCUUGGGGCUCUUCUUAGACCAUAAACCAUUAUUAAUGCACCUCAUACAUAUAUUAUCAUGAUCAAUUGAUAUUAUUCAUAUAAUAAUCCUUGUCUACACACAAAAUAAUAUAAUUAGCGCACAUCGACUUUCUUAAUAGCGCUUAAGUACUUCAAAAAUUUUCGGGGUGUUACAUUCUCCCCCACUUAAGAACAUUCAUCCUCAAAUGUUUUACAAGUCACUUCUAAUAAUAGAGUUACCAUCCUUUUACCUCCAGCCAUUAUACAUAGGCGCUUAUGACUACAUGGGUCUUAUACUUCCUUUCCAAAACCUCAACUUACUUAUGGCCCUUAAAAUUUGGCCAUCUUUACAAAUUCAUAAAACUUUCGGCAGAGUUUCCCUUGUAGGUGGGCCUAUCCACCUGUCAGAUAAUCACCAAAAUCAACCUAUCACAUACACAACUUGACAAAGCAUCACCAUAUAUAUCAACAUCACAAAUCUCAUCAUUACAGGCAUUAUAUUAUCAAGAGUGAUAUCUGGACAUGCGCUGCACAUAUUUAAAUUAUAACACAUAGAAAGUACCUUCCAAAUCACAAUCAUUUGACUAUAUACUCAAGUGAGAACAGUUUAUUUCCUUAACACUUUUUGGCCCUUAAGGUGGCCUCCUCGACUUACCGACUUCGCCAUAACACAUUAACGGAGGCAAUCUCAACUUCCAGACUUUUCGAACAAGGAUAGGAAAUAGUUGCUCCUCAUAAUCAAAUUAUCCAUUAACUUCACCUUCUUAAACAUAGACAAAUGAAACACCGGGUACACGAAGAACAAUAAUAGGGAAACACCAUACUCAUAGUUUGGCCUAUUUCCUUCGAGAUUUCAUAAAGCCUAAUAUGACGACAUAUACUUUACCUUCCUUAACAAUUCACACAAUAUAUUCAUAGAGAAAUAUUUAGAAUAACCCGUUCACUUUCUUCCAUUCUAAAUCUCUAUGCCGAACACCCAAACUAAAACUUUUGUGACAUCGAACAAUUACUCUAAUAUGUGCUAGCAUGAAUAUGACCAUAAACUUUUCUGUCCAAUAUAUUUGAUCACGGAAUGAUGCUUCUUCUUUGACAUGUUUGAACCUUUAACCCCCAUAGGUUUACUAAAAAUAGGAACAACGAGGUUCGAGAUUGGGAUGAAAUUAUUCAAGAAUCCAUCAAUGUGCCGAGCACGACAUUUCAGGAUGUUAUAUNNNNNNNNNNNNNNNNNNNNNNNNNNNNNNNNNNNNNNNNNNNNNNNNNNNNNNNNNNNNNNNNNNNNNNNNNNNNNNNNNNNGAUACGAUAAACUUGUCUUUCAAAUCAAUAUGCUCUCAUGUUACUAGACGGUGAAAAGGAUUCGUGAUAAUAUACACAAAGGAACAAAGUGAUUGUUCAAACCAUAUGAGCCACAUACACCAGAGAGAAAAAGAGUGACUCAAGAAGGAUCUCAACACUAGGUUGCUUUACAUUCGAUUUGAUACCACAUAGGUAAAUAUUAUGGUGGUGCGUGCAUAGGCACAAAUGACCAGAUGUUAUCCAUUUGAAUCAAAAGGUUCAGUACGAAAUCCAUCAGGUAUAGUCCUUUGUUGAGAAUUUAAGAAAGCAAGUGGAAAGUAUUAAUCCUAGAGUUAUAACUCAAUUCAAGGACAUAACUAUAGAGCUCAAUUCCACAAGAGGUUUUAAAUAAGAGAAUUUAUGAUAGAGUGGAUUCACGAAUAAUGUAUCUCUUUCAAAGAGUAGAUAUAUGCAAUGUUUUGUGAUUCAACAUUUUGGUUAAGACCAUAUUUAUGUAGGCCUCUUCAAUAUGGAUGUACAUAUACAACAAGGAAAAUAAUGCGGUGUUCAUAAUGAUGUAUUAAGUAGUGACUUACUUGAUGACUUUAGAUUGAUAGGGCAGUACCUUAAUUGAUGCCCCUCUACUCCACAUCCAAAACAUACAUUAGUACCAUAGUGACAUACCCCCUAAUGAUAUUUCAUACACUUCACACAAUGAGGAUGGGAUCCGCUAAACUGAUUCUCCCCACUUACCCAAUAUUUACCCUUUUUUUAUACAUCAUAAGCAUUCCCCUUAGUCUUCCUCCAAGCCUUCAUGGUGGGAGUAACAAUCUCUGCAACAGCUCGUUGUAUGGACUUUUGGAAUUGCCUUAAUCUACCACCCCUAACAUGCUCAGAGUUUUGAUCUAUAUACUGAGAUCGAAAUCGCUAAGGGGCUCGAGGCCGAGGCCAAUAAAUUGGCUUACCUUGAGGAAGAAGAAGAAGAAGAAGACUCUGAGGGUUCCGAUGGAACCGGGGGCGAAGAAGGCCAGGCUAUUUAGACGCCUUUGUAGAUGUUCUUGCUUUUUUUCGUACUUAUGCACUUUGCACUUUUUGUUAAGGCCAUUUGGCCUUUGUAAAAACUGUAUAUAAUAUACAAGGCUUGUUUUUCCAUUCGACAGUUUAAGAAUUUUGUUUUCCUUUGCUUUACUCUUUAUGUUUGCAAAGAUCUAAAUGCCUUAACAUAAAAUAGUUAGGUCAUGUUCGGAGGUUUGAACAGGCCUUGCCUUCGACAUUAUUUUGCUUAAGGCAUCAUGGGGGUUCAGUAUGACAUAAACCUUUUUCCCCAAAAUACUUAUGAAUUUUUAGAUUAUAGUUUGCCGAAGGUAACCUUUAGAACUGGUUAUGAAAUUGUGAAGGCCUUAUUUUUUGUUACGGGUCUCGGACGUCUCCGAGCCAUUUUAAUAUAGCCGUAGACUUUAGUUUGGGUGUUUUCAGUGGGUUUAUUACCCCGAAGUAUCCAGGAUUGCCUAAGAUAACAGUCUCUGAAUGGGGAUGGCCGUAGCCUUUAAGGUUCGGGCGCUGUCUAAUAGGUCUCGUGCCCUCAAGCUCCGAUAGCACGAGCCUACCGAGUUUGUUUUUGGACUGCAGUCCUCGAUUGGGGGUGAUCGUUUGAGCCCAGAUAAAGGUGGCCCUUAGGCUCGAUACCUUUAGGGGAUCGAAUGUAAGAAAUUCCUUGAGAGGAAAAGAAAAAAGAGACAUUCUUAAGGGACAAGAUAUUUAUCCGCAAGGUAGAAACAUCUUUUUAUUCUUGUGCGUAAUAGUUGUACACGUGUACAAGUUUUGUUCCAAGGCUCGAGUAGUCUAUGCGGACAUGGUUCAUUUGACUGUUUAACCCUUACCGUAAAUCCUAUUGAUUAAGCCGAGACCAUUCAAUCAUAAAGUUUCCUUCCUUGCUAAAGUCGUUAUCCGAGGGUUAUUCCCCCAGUGUUUGUGGCCGAGCAUAAAGAGGCCUCGAAUAUUGUUGUCGUGAUCUUCGAUACCGAUUCAUAACCGGCCUUCAAUUCUAAGAUAGAACAAUUUAUUGUUGCCUCGUUAGAAACCUUGCCGGAAAAUCCAUUUGGGACAAAAUCAGUUCAAGGGAAAAAGAGUGUAACGCGUGCUUUCUGGCCUAAAGAUUGUAUCAUUCUUUGAUGAUUGCCUGCAAGUGUUAGUUCGUAAUAUAAAUAAAUAAAAGGAAAUGAAUGGGGUCAUACCUUAACAGUAGUAUCGCUUCAAGUAUGUUAUGUUCCAGUUGCUUGGUAGUUGCUCACCGUUCAUUGUUCUGAGCUUGUACGAUCAUUUACCGGUGAUCUCGAUAAUUUGAUAAGGUCUUUCCUAGUUCGGCCCCAGCUUUCCUUCGUUUGGGUUUCGAGUGUUUAAUGUGACCUUCUUUAACACUAAGUCCCCAACAUUGAAGUGUCUAAGGUUAUCCCUUUGAUUGUAGUAUCUCUCGAUCCGCUGUUUUUGGGCGCCUAACCGGACAAGGGUUGCUUUGCGCCUUUCAUUUAAUAGAUCUAGGCUCGUGUUCAUAGCCUCGUCGUUCGAUUCCUUGGUUACAUAUCAGAACUUGAGACUUGGUUCUCUGACUGGUAUUAGAGCUUUGGCGCCAUAAACUAAUAAGAACGGGGCGGCCCCGGUACUGGACUUCGAGGUCUUACGAUAUGCCAAUAAGAUUUCGAGCAGUAUUUCCUUCCAUUUUCCUUUGGCGUCGGUCAACCUCUUCUUGAGGUUUUGGAGUAUGUUUUUGUUGGUCGAUUCUGCUUAUCCGUUCCUGCUAGGGUAGUUGAUAGGAUCAUUUUGAUCUUAUGAUCUUCGAGAAACUUGCUAACUUUGCUGCCGAUGAAUUAUUUCCUGUUGUCGCACAUGAUCUCGGCUGGCAUUCCGAACCGGCAUAUGACGUGGUCCUAAAUAAAAUCGAUGACUUCCUUCUUCUUAACCUUUCCGUAUGCGUGGUCUUCCACAUACAUAGAAAAAUAGUCACUCAUAAACAAUAUAAAUUGAGCAUUAUCAGGUGCCCACGGAAGGGGCCAACAAUAUCCAUUCUCCACUUCAUGAAUGACCAUGGUGACAAAAUCGAAUGCAACAGCUCCCCGGGCUGAUGAAUCAUCGGAGCGUGUCUUUGAUAUUCAUCAUAUUUUUGUACGAACUCCUUCACGUCCUUUUCCAUAUCGAUCUAGUAGUAGCCGACUCUGAUCACUUUCCGAACCAAUGAUUAGGCGCCUAAAUGAUUUCCACAUGUGCCUUUGUGGAUUUCCCUCAAAACUUACUUGAUAUCCCCUGGUCCUAGACAUAUCGUGAGUGGGCCGUCGAAUAUUUAUUUGAACAGAGUUCCAUCUCCGGACAACUAAACCGGGUUGCCUUUGUAGGCUGGGCCCUUGAUUAUUUUGCACCCGAGGGUAAUUUUCUAGUCUUCAAAUAUUCUAUAUAUUUAUUUCUCUAGUCCCAAGUUAGACUCGUUGAGUUAAUCUCGGCAUGGCCUUCUUCCACUACCGAUCUCAUAAGUUGUACGAAUUCCCCCGAGUUGAACUCGUCGUCCUUGACCGAUGACCCUAAAUUAGUGAGGGCAUCCCCCUCACUAUUUUUAUCUCGAGGUACAUGUUACAAAGUUCAUUCUUUGAACCGAUGUAAUGUUACCUGCAACUUAUCUAGGUACCUUUGCAUUCGUUCUUCUGUGACUUCGAAUGUCCCAUUAACUUGGUUAACCACAAGGAGGGAGUCGCACUUGGCUUCGAUCACUUCUUCCCCCAAGCUUUUGGCUAGUUCGAGACCUGCAAUCAUGACCUUAUAUUCGGCCUUGUUGUUAGUCAAUUUCACUGUCCUAAUAGAUUGUCUGACUACAUUACCUGUUGGUGGUUUUAAUACGAUGCCAAGUUCGAACCCUUUUCCGUUCGAAACGCCGUCCGUAAAGAGGGUCCAGAUCCCCGAAAAGGUUCCUGAGUUGAUUAAUAACUCUCUUUCGAUCUCGGGUAUUAGGUCCGGCAUAAAGUCGGCCACAAAGUCUUCCAAAUUUUGAGAUUUAAUGGCGAUCCAGUGUCAAUAUUCAAUAUCGUACCCAUUGAUUUCCACGGCCCAUCUGGCCAACCGUCCCGAGAGCUCGGGCUUAUGCAUGAUAUUCCUCAACGGAUAUAUAGUCAUGACACAUAUGGGGUGACACUAGAAGUAUGAUUUUAGCUUUCUAGAGGCGCUUAGCAAAGCGAGCACCAGCUUUUCUAGGUGAUGUACCUAGUUUUGGCCUCACCUAAGGUCCUGCUAACAUAGUAAAUUGGAAAUUGCGUACCUUACUCUUCCCAGACCAGGACUCUACGUACCGCUAUCUCCGAUACUGCCAAGUACAAGUAUAGUUACUCGUCUGUCCUUGGUGUGUGAAGAAACGGUGGACUCGAUAGAUACCGCUUGAGUUCCUCCAAGGCUCGUUGGCACUCCGGGGUCCAUGAGAAGUUAUUCUUCUUCUUCAAUAGUGUGAAGAACUGGCGGCUCUUGCCGGAGGACCUUGAGAUGAAUCACCCCAGGGUGGCUAUGCACCCGGUUAAUCUUUGCACGACCUUCACGUUAUCCACAACUGUUCUAUCUUUGAUGGCUUUUGAUCUUGUCAGGAUUGAUCUCGAUUCCCUGGUUGGAUACCACGAAUCCGGGGAAUUUACCUGACCCAACUCCAAACGCACAUUUCUUCGGGUUCAGCUUCAUAUUGUACUUUUUCAAUAUGCUGAAGUUUUCCUACAAAUGUUUUAAAUGGUCCUCUACUCGUAGUGACUUAACCAAUAUAUCGUCAAUGUAAACCUCCAUUGAUUUUCCUAUUUGUUCCUCGAACAUCCGAUUUACUAGGUGUUGGUAAGUGGCACCGACGUUUUUUUAACCCGAAUGGCAUCACGUUAUAACAGUAUGUGCCGUAUUUAGUGGUGAAGGAGGUUUUUUCCUGAUCACCCGGGUUCAUCCGUAUUUGGUUGUACCUAGAAUAGUUAUCUAGAAAACUAAGGAUCUCGUGGUUGGUCGUGGCGUCGAUCAUGCGAUCGAUGUUGGGCAAAGGGAAAGAAUCCUUGGGACAUACCUUAUUCAAAUCCUUAUAGUCUACACAUAUUCUUAAUUUUUUCCCUUUUUUAGGGGCUACUACUCCAUUUGCUAACCACUCCGGGUAUUUAACCUCCCGAAUGGACCAUAUUUUAAGGAGUUUAGAUACCUCGUCCUUGAUGAAAGUAUAUUUGACCUCGAGCUAGGGUCUCCUCUUCUGCUUGAUCGUAUGGAACUUUGGGUCCAGGCUCAACUUAUGAAUGGUUAUCUCCAGCGGGAUCCCUGCCAUAUCAAGGUGAGACCAAGCGAAACAAUCUUCAUUAGCUAUAAGAAAUUGAAUGAGUUUUUUCCUGAGCUCGAGGCUUAACCCCGUGCCCAGGUGUACCUUUCGAUCGGGCAAGUGUUCACUCAAUACGACUUGGUCUAGUUCUUCGACCGUUGGUUUUAUAGCGUAAGAAUCAUCGGGGGCUAUGAAAGAUUUGGGGACCCCGUAAUCACCAUCCUCGUCUACCGCUUGUUCCUCUGAUUCUGUUGAGGUUGGUAUCAGUGAUUGCUAUUUGGCACCGUCUUUGACCAUCUGGUUCGGAUCCUUCGAUGUUGAGAUUGUGGAUUUUGGGGUCACUUCAUCAACCGCGAACAUUUCCUUGGCGGUCUGUUGUUCCCCAUAAACUAUUUUGACUUCACUGGGUGUUGGAAAUUUCAGCACCUAGUGCAGUGUCGAGGGCACUGCUCUCAUGUUGUGGAUAUAAGGCCUCCCGAACAAAGAGUUGUACCUCAUGUCUCCUUUGAUCACAUAAAACUUAGCUUCCUGGAUGAUCCCGGUUAUGUUCACUGUUAAUGUUAUCUCAUCCUUAGUGGUUUCACAUGCCAUGUUGAAUCCGUUUAGAACUCGGACUGCAGGCACGAUUUGAUCUUGUAGACCGAGCUGCUCCACGACCCUCGAUCGGAUGAUGUUGGACGAGCUACUUGGAUUAAUUAACACACGUUUAACUCAAAUUUAUUUACGAGUACAAAUAUUACCAGUGCAUCAUUGUGAGGCUGCACGAUUCCUUCCGCGUCCUCUUGUUGAAAGACAAGGUUCCUUCCAGUACGUAAUCUCGAGUUCGUUUCUCCCUCGUCAUGGACACUUUGGUGCGCUUCAACAUCGACCCCUUAGGGACAUAGACCCCACCAAUGAUUAUGUUAAUGACGUGUUGAGGUUCUUCUUGUUCAGUUUGUUUGUUAGAAUCCCUAUUCCUAAAAUGAUUCUUGUUUCGAUCGCUCAGGAAUUCUCAAAGAUUCCCGUUGUUGAAUAUUCAGGCUACUUCCUCUCUCACCUGUCGGCAAUCCUCCGUUCUGUGGUCGUGAGUGCCGUGAUAUUUACACAUCUGGUUAGGAUCCCUUUGGGUUGGAUUAGAUUGUAGAGGAUGAGGCCAUUUUGUAUCUUUGAUGCGCCCGAUAACUGAUACAAUGGUGGCAACAUCGAUAUUAAAUUUGUAUUCCGAUAACCUCGGUGCUUCUUUAGGCCCGAUGGGCCUGUUGAAGCUGUUUUUGCUCAUGAGUCCUCAGUUUCUCUGACUUCGAUCACUUCUCCUUUCAUUUCUCAUAGAGUUCCGCCCGGACCCAUUGCUUCUUCGGUCUCCAUUAUACGACUGAUAACGAUCCCUGUUUGGUCUCAGUUUACGAUCGAUGUCUCUCCUGACUCUGUCGAUGGUUUUGAUAGGAUAAACGGACCCCGAAGAGGCCUUGAGUUGAUCAUCUUCCACUCUGAUUGUUGAUUGAUACCGAUUAUGUAUGUCAGCCUAAGUAACGGUCGGAUAUUCUAUCAGGUUUUGUUUCAACUAGUGUGAAGCCACCGAGCUUCGAACAUUGAGCCCUUGGGUGAAAGCCUGAAUGGCCAAAUCAUCAGCGACCCGUGGCAGGUCCAUUCGUUCUAUUUGAAAUCGGGACACGAACUCUCUGAGUAUCUCGUUAUCUUUCUGUUUUACUUUGAAAAUGUCCGAUUUUCUGGUCUCGACCUUAAUGGCCCCGACGUGUACUUUCAUGAAAGAACCUGCAAGUAUGGCAAAUGAGUCAAUAGAAUUAGGCGGUAAGUUGUGGUACCAUAUCAUAGCUUCUUUUGACAGGGUCACUCCGAACUUUUUCAACACGACAGACUCGUUCUCAUCAUCCUCCAAGUCGUUCCCUUUGAUGGCACAUGUGUAGGAGGUUACAUGCUCAUUUGGGUCGGUCUUUCCGUUAUACUUAGCAAUCUCGGGCAUGCAAAAUUUCUUAGGGAUCGGCUUUGGAUCCUUGCUCGGAGGAAAAGGUUUUUGUACGAACUUCUUGGAAUCCAGGCCUUUCAAUAUUGGCGGUGCUCUUGGGAUUUGGUCUGCCAUGGAAUUGUAGGUUUCCACGUUUUUGUCAUUAGCUUCGAUUUUCUUCUCCCCUGAUUCUAUAUGUUUUGUCAGCUCUUCGAGUACCGGUUCAUCCUUGCGGGUGAUUUCUCGGGGUGGAUCGGGUUCAAUUCUGCUCGGUGCACGACUUUGGUUCUGUAACUGAGCUAUCGCUGCAUGUUGAGCCUGCAACAUUUCAAAGAUUACCCAUAAAUCGAUUCCGUCUCCUCCAAUAUUUUGUGUAUUUUGAGUUGCCGAUCGGGCUCCACCAUGGACAAUAUUCUCGGGGUCGGUAGACAAGUUUGCGUCGAUAGCCAUAUAUAAAUUAGCGUCAAUCGGGCCCGCGACAGGAAUUUCGAUAGGAUCAAUAGCCAGUACCUCAUCACCGGGCGCUAUGUUGUUAUUUUCACCGUGAUGACCGGACUCAUUGUCAAAAUGUAGGGGUGCUGGUUGAGAAUUCGACAUUUUGAGUUUUACCCUCCAAUUAGAGACACUUCAAAGAAUAAGUGUAAAGUAGUGUGUGUUAUGGAGAUUUGUAUCAAAUAACCACUAUUAUCCUUAGCCCCACGGUGUGCGCCAAACUGUUUACCCUCGAAAUCGGAUAACAAUUAAAUUUGUAAGUGGUUUUAAGGAUAUAUGGACUAACUUGAUACAAAAUGAUAAAUUAGAUCACAAUUAAAAUAAAUAACGAUAAAGUAAAUGCAAACCAAAUGAAUUGAAUAGUAUCAGCCUCGGAAGGUUAGCCACCCUCGAGCCAGGUACGCUUCGAACGAUUUCAGGAUACAGAGGAACAAGAGCUUAAAGAGAAACAAUAACAAUGUAUUAUUUUGGGAUGCGUGUUACAACAUGUUUAAUGAAUUAUUAAAUCCCUCUUUAUAUAGUAGAUGAGUCCUACUUUAGGUACAAUUCUAUAAAAGGUAAAAAAUCUCUUGAUUAGCUGAUUGACGGUUCCUUACUGAUAAGCGCCGAGAUUCUCGCCGUAAUACCUGACCAGUCACGAAUAUUUAGGUCUUCUGCUGGUUAUGCUAACAAUUUUUCUUUGAGCUUGAUCGGGGCUAAGUUCGACUCGGGGAUUACAAGCUCAAUGUUCUCGAAGACUAGCAUUCUAACCCCGAGUUCUAGCUCAGUGGGACUCGGGGUCGAUCUUCAGUCUUUGGUUGUCAUGUUCCGAGCCUAACUUGCCAUGUCGUAGGUGAACUCGAUUCCGACCAUAUACAAUGCUCGAUGCCAUCUUUCAAGUUUGACACUCAGAAUCAUCUUGUUACAACUACCAUAGCUAUACAAAAUUUCAUCCGACGACAUUCUUCUACCGAUACGGAAUUCAACUAUUAUGCUAAUGAAGCAUUACUGCAGAGAUUGAGGAAUGAGAUGAGCCUUCUGCUUUCCUUUAGAAAUUCAAGGCAAGUCUUCUACUAAUAUGAAGGUGUUGUGUUAUAGAAUUAGAGAUGAAAUUGUUGAGAAAUAUUAUCAUGUGUGUGCGACUUUGCUUAUUAUUUCAUAGUGGAUUAUCAAUAUAUAGUAAUUUGUGGAAUAAACUUCUAAUUCAUACUGAAUGAUGUAUUUUGAUUAUUCAAAUCAUCAUAUAAACAAUAAGUAAUUAUACUAGAUAAUAUUAUAUGCUUUGGUGCAACUAUAUAUGUUAUAUUAAUUUAAAUCUUUAAUAUGUAUGUUUACUUUAUAUUUUAUAUUUUAAUUAAAUAAAAUAAAAAAUAAUAAAAGUUUACGAUAAAUAUUUAAGUUCAUUUUUCUCUUUAAAAUAAUUACAAGACUUCGGUACUAUCCUUUUUGGUAAUUUGACACUCAAAAGUACUUUUUAGAAAGGCCGGUCAAAUACAAUUUGUUUACCAAAUGUUGCAAAAAGUAUUUCUUAAAUGAAUUGGCCAAACACAAAGUGUUUUUUCCCAAAAGUACUUUUGGAUAAAGCACUUCUGGAAAAAAUUACUUUUCAAAAUAAACAGUGUUUGGCAGCUUGGCCAAACGGGCCCUAAACUCCAUAUAUCCAGUAGAAUGAUACCAUAAUAGGUCAAGAAUUCUAAUUCAACAAACUUGGUAGGAGGAUCAUCCAACAACACAGCCAUAAAGACUAGACUUUUAUAGCAUGUUUGCUCAAGCUUUUAAAAGGCCAAAAGUCUUUUGUCCCAAAAAAUAUUUUUUUAGAAAUCGAGGUGUUUGGUCAAAACGGAGAAGUGCUUUUGAGUAGCCUACUCAUCUCCCCUUAAUUUAGAUAAGUACUUAAUAUUUUUUCUACCUUCUCCUACUCUUCUUUCUAAUAGUUUUUCUAUUAUAAAUAUAUUUUUUUCUGUCUUUUUUCUUUUCAUCCUCUCUUAUUGCAACUCUCAUUCCUUUUUUGAAAUAACUAAGCUAAUCACCAUAUUUAAGUAUUUUUUUCAUGAGGUAUGAUUCGUUAUGCUUUUUUUGUAAUAUACCAUAUGCGAAAUAUUAUUAUUUUGGUAUAACCAUAUUUUAUAUUGAUUAAAAUCUUUAAUUUGUAUUAUUAGUUUAUGUUUUAUAUUUUAAUUAAAUCGAAAUAAAAGGAGAAAAUGACUCUCUAUAGCCUCUCAAAAUUUUAAUAGCCCAUAUUUUUUCGUUGACACGAAACGUCCCUUCGGUCCAAAUAUAUUACAUAUAAUAGCCCGAAAUAUCUAUUUUGUAUAUUUUUGUAUAGUGACAGUCUAUUUUGUAUAUAUUUUGUAUAGUGACAGUCUAUUUAGUAUAUUUUUUGUAUAGUGAUAGUCUAUUGUAUAUAAAUUGUACAGUGACAGUCUAUUUUAUAUAUAUUUUGUAUAGUGACAGUCUAUUUUAUAUAUAUUUUGUAUAGUGACAUUCUAUUAUAUAUGAACUGUAUAGUGACAAUCUAUUUAGUAUAUUUUUUGUAUAGUGAUAGUCUAUUUUGUAUAUAUUUUGUAUAGUGACAGUCUAUUGUAUAUAAUUUAUAUAGUGACAGUCUAUUUAGUACAUAUUUUGUAUAGUAACAAUAUAUUUUGUAUAUAUUUCAACGUUAUGCAUAGUUAUGUGAGAAAAAACAAUCAUAAAAAUUCCUGUUAUUUCCCGUGACUUCAAACUCCCAACUCAAAACCCUAUAACUCCAUUGAAACACAACACUAAAAGCUUCUUACUUUCCCAUUUCUUCCUGUUAUUUAUCAAUGCACCGUUAAUUCGCUAAAAGAUAAAGAAAAAAGAAAAGAAAAAGAUGAUGAGGUCACCUUAGGUACGAAACGACAUCGUUGAUACACCGUCGCCGUCACACUUUCUCUCCACACUGUCCGUACACAAGCUCCGGAGUUUCAACAUUUUGAAUUAUCGUCUUCCGAUUUGCUUCCUUCUGCUUCUCUCUUGUUUACUAAUUCUCGUCCCGGCGGCUCCGAUUUUCCUCAGUGGCACCACUUUCAGGUUUUUCAAUUGCUAGCCAUUAUUAUUGUUUUUAGGUUAUAACUUGUAUGAGGUCAUUUAGUGGCUACUGGGUGAUAUAAGUUUGGCCUGAGUGACUACAAAUAAAUUUUGCUCAAAUAAAAACUUAAUUAAAUUCUUUUUCGUUUCUAUCUUAAAUAUACUAAUAGUAUACUGAACCUUGACAGUAAUUUGACACUCAAAAGCACUUUUUGUAAAGAUUAGUUUUGCU
Molecule: long non-coding RNA, 14364 nt
Filed under: Nicotiana tabacum (common tobacco)
Lineage: Eukaryota; Viridiplantae; Streptophyta; Magnoliopsida; Solanales; Solanaceae
Description: long non-coding RNA (NTAB_LNC008783)
Source: RNAcentral